CAUGGAGUAGAUCAGCGGUAGAUCACCGGCACGACACGGCGGAGGGCGCGGGUUCGAUCCCCGCCUCCAUGG
RNAcentral lists this transfer RNA (72 nucleotides) under Nocardia terrae. RNAcentral's name for it is "Nocardia sp. ET3-3 tRNA-Val". It matches the Rfam family "tRNA". From Rfam's summary of the family: Transfer RNA (tRNA) molecules are approximately 80 nucleotides in length. Their secondary structure includes four short double-helical elements and three loops (D, anti-codon, and T loops). Lineage: Bacteria; Bacillati; Actinomycetota; Actinomycetes; Mycobacteriales; Nocardiaceae. The record is from RNAcentral.